AUUGAACGCUGGCGGCAGGCCUAACACAUGCAAGUCGAGCGGCAGCGGAAAGUAGCUUGCUACUUUGCCGGCGAGCGGCGGACGGGUGAGUAAUGUCUGGGAAACUGCCUGAUGGAGGGGGAUAACUACUGGAAACGGUAGCUAAUACCGCAUGACCUCGAAAGAGCAAAGUGGGGGAUCUUCGGACCUCACGCCAUCGGAUGUGCCCAGAUGGGAUUAGCUAGUAGGUGAGGUAAUGGCUCACCUAGGCGACGAUCCCUAGCUGGUCUGAGAGGAUGACCAGCCACACUGGAACUGAGACACGGUCCAGACUCCUACGGGAGGCAGCAGUGGGGAAUAUUGCACAAUGGGCGCAAGCCUGAUGCAGCCAUGCCGCGUGUGUGAAGAAGGCCUUAGGGUUGUAAAGCACUUUCAGCGAGGAGGAAGGCAUCAUACUUAAUACGUGUGGUGAUUGACGUUACUCGCAGGAGAAGCACCGGCUAACUCCGUGCCAGCAGCCGCGGUAAUACGGAGGGUGCAAGCGUUAAUCGGAAUUACUGGGCGUAAAGCGCACGCAGGCGGUUUGUUAAGUCAGAUGUGAAAUCCCCGCGCUUAACGUGGGAACUGCAUUUGAAACUGGCAAGCUAGAGUCUUGUAGAGGGGGGUAGAAUUCCAGGUGUAGCGGUGAAAUGCGUAGAGAUCUGGAGGAAUACCGGUGGCGAAGGCGGCCCCCUGGACAAAGACUGACGCUCAGGUGCGAAAGCGUGGGGAGCAAACAGG
RNAcentral lists this ribosomal RNA (759 nucleotides) under uncultured Enterobacteriaceae bacterium. RNAcentral describes it as "bacterial SSU rRNA". It matches the Rfam family "Bacterial small subunit ribosomal RNA", at positions 28 to 776 of the family's 1533-position model. The record is from RNAcentral. Lineage: Bacteria; Pseudomonadati; Pseudomonadota; Gammaproteobacteria; Enterobacterales; Enterobacteriaceae.